AACGAACGCUGGCGGCGCGCCUAAUACAUGCAAGUCGAGCGAGAAGACGUAGCAAUACGUUUGUAAAGCGGCGAACGGGUGAGGAAUACAUGGGUAACCUACCCUAGAGUGGGGAAUAACUAGCCGAAAGGUUAGCUAAUACCGCGUACGCUCCUUGGACUUCGGUUCAGGGAGGAAAGCGAUACCGAGGGUAUCGCGCUCUUGGAUGGGCUCAUGUCCUAUCAGCUUGUUGGGAGGUAACGGCUCACCAAGGCUUCAACGGGUAGCUGGUCUGAGAGGACGAUCAGCCACACUGGCACUGCGACACGGGCCAGACUCCUACGGGAGGCAGCAGUGAGGAAUAUUCCACAAUGGGCGAAAGCCUGAUGGAGCGACGCCGCGUGAA
Molecule: ribosomal RNA, 385 nt
Filed under: uncultured bacterium
Lineage: Bacteria
Description: bacterial SSU rRNA
Rfam family: Bacterial small subunit ribosomal RNA
Source: RNAcentral